Molecule: ribosomal RNA, 537 nt
Filed under: Copelatus sp. MB6580
Lineage: Eukaryota; Metazoa; Arthropoda; Insecta; Coleoptera; Dytiscidae
Description: SSU rRNA
Rfam family: Eukaryotic small subunit ribosomal RNA
Source: RNAcentral
UUGAUCCUGCCAGUAGUCAUAUGCUUGUCUCAAAGAUUAAGCCAUGCAUGUCUCAGUACAAGCCUCAUUAAGGUGAAACCGCGAAAGGCUCAUUAAAUCAGUUAUGGUUCCUUAGAUCGUACCCACAUUUACUUGGAUAACUGUGGUAAUUCUAGAGCUAAUACAUGCAAACAGAGUUCCGACCGGAGACGGGAGGAAUGCUUUUAUUAGAUCAAAACCAAUCGGCGGCGGGCGCGCUCGCGCACCCGUUCGCCGCUCAACCUGGUGACUCUGAAUAACUUUCGGCUGAUCGCACGGUCCAGCACCGGCGACGCAUCUUUCAAAUGUCUGCCUUAUCAACUGUCGAUGGUAGGUUCUGCGCCUACCAUGGUCGUAACGGGUAACGGGGAAUCAGGGUUCGAUUCCGGAGAGGGAGCCUGAGAAACGGCUACCACAUCCAAGGAAGGCAGCAGGCGCGCAAAUUACCCACUCCCGGCACGGGGAGGUAGUGACGAAAAAUAACGAUACGGGACUCAUCCGAGGCCCCGUAAUCGGAAU